This 456-nucleotide ribosomal RNA is filed under the name uncultured organism. Its description in RNAcentral is "partial 16S ribosomal RNA". It matches the Rfam family "Bacterial small subunit ribosomal RNA", at positions 329 to 801 of the family's 1533-position model. The record is from RNAcentral.
ACGUACACUCCUGCGGGAGGCAGCAGUGGGGAAUAUUGGACAAUGGGCGCAAGCCUGAUCCAGCCAUGCCGCGUGAGUGAUGAAGGCCCUAGGGUUGUAAAGCUCUUUCACCGGUGAAGAUAAUGACGGUAACCGGAGAAGAAGCCCCGGCUAACUUCGUGCCAGCAGCCGCGGUAAUACGAAGGGGGCUAGCGUUGUUCGGAUUUACUGGGCGUAAAGCGCACGUAGGCGGACUAUUAAGUCAGGGGUGAAAUCCCGGGGCUCAACCCCGGAACUGCCUUUGAUACUGGUAGUCUUGAGUUCGAGAGAGGUGAGUGGAAUUCCGAGUGUAGAGGUGAAAUUCGUAGAUAUUCGGGGGAACACCAGUGGCGAAGGCGGCUCACUGGCUCGAUACUGACGCUGAGGUGCGAAAGCGUGGGGAGCAAACAGGAUUAGAUACCCCAGUAGUCCCAUGAU